UUGUUUUAAUGUGUCAGACUUUAUAUUUUUGUUGCCACUCUUUUUAGGGAUAAUAGAAUCGUGAAGUUGUAAAAGUUUGUCUGGAGAAAAUAACUUUAUUGGCUUAACAUGUUGAAACAUUUUCAAACUAAUUUUAAUAAUUUAUGAUUUAAGUGGUACUUCUACCAGUGAUAUUUUACGAUACUUAAUCUACUCUUGUGUAUUUCAGGACGUAAGUCUCUG
This 222-nucleotide long non-coding RNA is filed under the name Gossypium barbadense (sea-island cotton). Its description in RNAcentral is "long non-coding RNA (GBAR_LNC022986)". Lineage: Eukaryota; Viridiplantae; Streptophyta; Magnoliopsida; Malvales; Malvaceae. The record is from RNAcentral.